AGGAGGAACAACCGCAGUGGCGGGGCCAGCUCUGGAAACCUGGAUUCAGCCCCCGCAGUAGCUCCAGAGCUCUCCGUCUGCAGGGCCUGGAGGCUCCGGGGCGGG
This 105-nucleotide microRNA precursor is filed under the name Canis lupus dingo (dingo). RNAcentral describes it as "mir-8834 microRNA precursor family". It matches the Rfam family "mir-8834 microRNA precursor family". The record is from Rfam by way of RNAcentral. Lineage: Eukaryota; Metazoa; Chordata; Mammalia; Carnivora; Canidae.